AAAUAUAUAUAUAUUAGCCUAUAUGGGUCCGGCUGCUAUCCUAUUAAUAGGAUUUGGACCCUUGUCCUAUCAAGUCGAUUUGAAUGAUCAGAACUUCAAAUUGAUAAUUGGCACCGUUGAAGUUGAUCUACACAAUUAGAAAUGUUUAGAAACUAAAUUUUGUAUUAUUUAAAAAUCAUUAUCAAGUUCAUCUUAAGAGUUGAAAAAUGAACGGUCAUAAAUAAAUAACCUUCUUAAAAUAGAAGUUAGACUUUCUCAGUUUGUAAUCAGAGUUAUCAAACAUUAUCUAAAUAGUAUAAAGAAUUUUCUAUAAAAAAUUCAAGCAAUUUGGAUUGCUCUACAUCGUUAAACAAGCAAACGGCUCAUAUAGGCCGUCAAAAAUUGUCAAUUUUACGACACUUUGAUCACCAUGUAAACCAUUAUCAAAAUUUAUGAAAUUUAGUUUCUAGAUAUUUCAAAUACUCUAGAUCAACUUCAACGGCUCCGAUCAUCGAUUCGGAAUCUCGAUCAUCAAGAACAACUUGAUAGGACAAGUGCUCCUAUCCUAUUAAUAGGAUAGUAGCAUUAAGGCUAUAAGAUCUAUCAUAUAUAAUAUUAUACUCAAAUAAUAAUAAUAGUACACUACUAAUAUAAGAGAGAGAGAGAGAGAGAGAGAGAGAGCAGGAAGAGAGAGAGAUGAUCUGUACGAUGAAGAGAGAGAGAGAGAGAGGCUCCUAUGCUUUCGAAAGUACGGAGGUCUCCGUACUUGUAAGUUGUUUUCGAUGAUGGAACGUCCGAUUCAGCGAUCGGUUCCAUUAGACAUGAUCUACACUAUUGGAACUAUGUAGAAACCAAAUUUCAUAAUUUUUUAACAUCAUUUAUCAAGCGAUCACAGGGUCUCAAAAAUGACUAUUUUAACGGCCGAUGUGGCACGUUUUUAAAUUCAACGGUGUAGAAGUUUUCAAAUUAUAUGAAAUUUUAAUAGGAAAUUCUACUUAACAUUAAGAGUAAGAACAAUACUUCCGAUUUGAAAUUUGAGUCUUUUAUCACUAUUUUUUAUGAGAUUUUUAUUUUCAGCCGUUCAUUUUAAGGCUAUUCGUUCACUAGGCAAACAAAGUCAAAAAAUUCUGAAAUUUGGUUUCUAGAUAGUUUAAAUAGUGUAAAUCAUAUUUAACGGAACCGAUCGCUGAAUUGGAAGUCCCAUCAUCGAAAACAACUUUCUGUCGUAUCAAAUAAGUUUUUAUAUCUAUCUGAGCACCUUUUAAACAAAAAUUUUCUUCUAAGUAAGUUUGAUAAUCUCACCACCCUCUUUGUUACAAAAAUUUAUAAAUAUAAUUUUCAACUCCAUGUAACAAAAUAAAUUACUUUCCAGCUAUAAUACUUUCUGCCGUAUCCAACCAAAUAAGAUACAUGCAGUCACAUUUGCUAUAUAUAUCAAACUACACUGUAUUUAUAAUUAUAUCAAACUA
Molecule: long non-coding RNA, 1448 nt
Filed under: Ananas comosus (pineapple)
Lineage: Eukaryota; Viridiplantae; Streptophyta; Magnoliopsida; Poales; Bromeliaceae
Description: long non-coding RNA (ACOM_LNC029711)
Source: RNAcentral